AUUGAACGCUGGCGGCGUGCCUUACACAUGCAAGUCGAACGGUAACGGGCCUUCGGGUGCCGACGAGUGGCGAACGGGUGCGUAAUACAUCGGAACGUGCCCGAUCGUGGGGGAUAACGAGGCGAAAGCUUUGCUAAUACCGCAUACGAUCUACGGAUGAAAGCAGGGGACCGCAAGGCCUUGCGCGGACGGAGCGGCCGCUGGCAGAUUAGGUAGUUGGUGGGAUAAAAGCUUACCAAGCCGACGAUCUGUAGCUGGUCUGAGAGGAUGAUCGGCCACACGGGAAGUGAAACACGGUCCAGACUCCUACGGGGGGGAGCAGUAGGGAAGCUGCCGCAAUGGGCGAAAGCGUGACGGAGCAACUGCGCGUGAGUGAUGAAUGUCUUAGGAGCGUAAAACGCUGUGAUGAGGGAAGAAAAAAUGGGUAAGUAACUAGGCACGUCUUGACGGUACCUAAGCAGAAAGCCACGGCUAACUACGUG
Molecule: ribosomal RNA, 482 nt
Filed under: uncultured bacterium
Lineage: Bacteria
Description: partial 16S ribosomal RNA
Rfam family: Bacterial small subunit ribosomal RNA
Source: RNAcentral